UACGUAGGGGGCAAGCGUUGUCCGGAUUUAUUGGGCGUAAAGAGCUCGUAGGCGGCUCGGUAAGUCGGAUGUGAAACCUCCAGGCUCAACCUGGAGACGCCAUCUGAUACUGCCGUGGCUUGAGUCCGGUAGGGGAGCACGGAAUUCCUGGUGUAGCGGUGAAAUGCGCAGAUAUCAGGAGGAACACCAGUGGCGAAGGCGGUGCUCUGGGCCGGAACUGACGCUGAGGAGCGAAAGCGUGGGGAGCAAACAGG
RNAcentral lists this ribosomal RNA (254 nucleotides) under uncultured bacterium. Its description in RNAcentral is "partial 16S ribosomal RNA". It matches the Rfam family "Bacterial small subunit ribosomal RNA", at positions 524 to 776 of the family's 1533-position model. The record is from RNAcentral.